AUCAUCUCCUUCUAGCCUCUUCAUUGAUUGGUCCGAGCCCUUGCCCGGCCAAAGUCGGUUAUCCCGUGCUGCCUACCUAUCUCGAGGGAAUUUUCUUGGCUAAAAUGUUGCUUUUCCUUCGUGUGCCGCCCCCUCUCUGGGAAGCGGUGCGUGUCGGACCUCAAGGCAGUCGACGUGCGUCCCACCGAGUUCAUCCCGAUGGGUGUUUUCGGUGUCCGAUCCACGGCGCAACGCUUGAUAUCUCGGGUGCGGAACAUGUAGCUGGUUCGGGGCCCUCGGUCACCGCAACCGCAACUCAAAGCGUUCUACGCUUCUUGCGAACGACCGUCGGCCGAUCUCAUGCCUCGCUCUCGAAGUGCGGCUGGGGUCGUGCCGGCGUCGG
This 382-nucleotide unclassified non-coding RNA is filed under the name Elsholtzia kachinensis. RNAcentral's name for it is "partial external transcribed spacer". Lineage: Eukaryota; Viridiplantae; Streptophyta; Magnoliopsida; Lamiales; Lamiaceae. The record is from RNAcentral.